This 441-nucleotide ribosomal RNA is filed under the name uncultured bacterium. RNAcentral's name for it is "partial 16S ribosomal RNA". It matches the Rfam family "Bacterial small subunit ribosomal RNA", at positions 338 to 795 of the family's 1533-position model. The record is from RNAcentral.
CCUACGGGGGGCAGCAGUGGGGAAUAUUGCACAAUGGGGGAAACCCUGAUGCAGCGACGCCGCGUGGGUGAAGAAGUAUUUCGGUAUGUAAAGUCCUAUCAGCAGGGAAGAAAGAAGACGGUACCUGACUAAGAAGCCCCGGCUAACUACGUGCCAGCAGCCGCGGUAAUACGUAGGGGGCGAGCGUUAUCCGGAUUCACUGGGUGUAAAGGGAGCGUAGACGGCCGUGCAAGCCAGGAGUGAAAGCCCGGGGCCCAACCCCGGGACUGCUUUUGGAACUGUGCGGCUGGAGUGCGGGAGGGGCAGGCGGAAUGCCUGGUGUAGCGGUGAAAUGCGUAGAUAUCAGGAGGAACACCGGCGGCGAAGGCGGCCUGCUGGACCGCGACUGACGUUGAGGCUCGAAAGCGUGGGGAGCGAACAGGAUUAGAUACCCCUGUAGUC